This 228-nucleotide ribosomal RNA is filed under the name uncultured bacterium. RNAcentral describes it as "partial 16S ribosomal RNA". It matches the Rfam family "Bacterial small subunit ribosomal RNA", at positions 568 to 796 of the family's 1533-position model. The record is from RNAcentral.
UGCGCAGGCGGGCUUGUAAGUCAGUGGUGAAAUACUGCCGCUUAACGGUAGAACUGCCAUUGAUACUGCGAGUCUUGAAUAUGGUUGAGGUAGGCGGAAUGUGUUGUGUAGCGGUGAAAUGCAUAGAUAUGACACAGAACGCCGAUUGCGAAGGCAGCUUACUAAGCCAUUAUUGACGCUGAGGCACGAAAGCGUGGGGAGCGAACAGGAUUAGAUACCCGGUAGUCC